Misgurnus anguillicaudatus (oriental weatherfish) is the source of this 1050-nucleotide long non-coding RNA. RefSeq lists it as uncharacterized. The record is from RefSeq and is a predicted model, not a curated record. NCBI's taxonomy places the organism in Eukaryota, Metazoa, Chordata, Actinopteri, Cypriniformes, Cobitidae.
AAACAUGGAAAAGUCAGAUUUUCAUAAUAUGUCCCCUUUAAAGAUUACUAAAGAAAACUGAUCAGCAGGCUCCUCUGUACAUACAGUGUGAGAUGAGCUCCAGGACAUUCAAUAAAACUCUUCAUUUGUGCAUUACAUAGCUGAGGUGUAAACAUAUUCAUAGCAUGCUUCUGUAUAUUCUGAUGUUGUUUUCUUGCUAACAGACUGUGUGACCUCUAAACACAGAGCUUUAAGGCCUGCCUAACCAUUAACAUGGAGUAUGAGUCUCAAUGAGGAAGUGAUGCUAACACCUAUAAACAUAAAUUAUAUGCAGGUCUGAUGCUCCUACAGCUCUGAUUUUCUCAAUAUUUUGUGACAUUUUAUAAAGCUUUGACCUGUGACUGAUGCUGAUGUUUGUUGUUAUGUGUCAGCUUUAAUAUGAAGACAUUAAAGGAUUCAUUAACUUUUUUUCUGGAGUUUGAGGCAGCACCCAAUUUCUCAGAAAGAGGAAGACAAAAAUAUUCACAGUUUUUUAAGCUUCAUAUUAAAGUGUAAAUGCCACCAGCAGUCCAUCAGAUAACAACGCCUGUACUCCUUGUUUAUUUGUUAUUUGUGCAUUGACAUAGACGCUCAUUGUCAUAGCAUGAGGUUUGAUAUGGAGAUGUGUUUCAGAAUAUCUCUGAUGUUUCUGCUCAUGACUGCUGAUGUUGAUGGUCAGCAGGAUUGGGUGAACUACAGUCUUUCAUAUGUUUGUGCAUUAAGGGACUCAACAGUGAGAUUAAAUUGUACUUUAAAACAUUCUGAUAGAUAUUGGGUCAUAGCAGCCACCUGGACCAAAUCAGCAUAUACAGCACCAAACCUGUGCUCAGACACAAACUACACAGGAAAGGUUCACUGUGUUUACAGUGAAUAUAAUGGCACUCACAGCAUCACUUUAACAAAUGUGACAGAAGCUGAUAAACACAUCUACUAUUGCAGAUUCAUAACAAACUGCAGAUACAACUGUGAAUACAAUGUAUGGAUUCCUGGAGUUCAGCUUGAUGUCACAGGUAAUGAAAUAAACCACUGAAU